UGUCAUAAAAGUCAACAUACUAUAAAGUCUUAGGUCAGAAUCAAUAUUUUUCCUAUAUUAUAGCUUUUCAACUUCAGAACGUACUUGGUAUCAAGUAUUUAAUAACCUAUCUGCAAUCUUUUAAGCUCCUGAAAUGCAGUAUCACUCACAAUAGCUAGCAAGCAUUGUUUAUCUGUGGCAGAAAGCAGGGAUCAGGAGUAACCCUUGCACUGAAAAACUGGCUCACCUCACAGCUGCCACAAAACUUCCAGUGGUAAAAACAACUAGAAAGUGAAACAAAAAGAUUAAGGUGACCAGUCUCCUGUGGUCACUGGUGGGUAGGGGCAGACACACCCACACCCUCUCUCUUACAGGUGAAAAGCCUUGGAAGACCCUCACACCGACCCCUGCACUCAGCGGACGUGACAAGCAAAGGACCUGGGUGCAGCCACAGGCACUGAUCGUGCUGGAAGAGUCCUGUGAGAGGUGUGAGCACCUCCCUGUGAGGGUCUCAUCUUCAGAACACCCAGGACACUCGGGUGCAGGGGGCAGCUACAGGCUGAGGAGGCCAGACCCCGCUACCAACUGCGUCCUCCUGUGGAAGAGGCCCGUCCUGGCCACACUGAGCGCCAUGACAGCACCUGGAAGCAGUGCUGGCAGGUACAGUGCUCAGGCUCUUCCCAGGGGCAGGGCCUGGAGCCGACAGCCUAGCAGACGCAGCAGCCCUAGGUUCAUGCGAUGCCUUGGAAACAGGACCCAAGGAAGCAGGAGGCGGCCCCCAAAAAUGGAUGCUCAAAAUGCUUCCUUCUCACAACAAAGCAGUCAACCCAUGAUGCUGCAGUGUGGUGGGUGCCUGAGCUCGGCGAUGUGCAAGGUCCUGGAGCCCAGACAGGCAGGGGGUGAAGGAUGAGCGGGAGCACUUCCUUCUUCCCGUUCCCACGUCUCUGGUUCCCAGGCCCACUGUCGGCCCAGUGGCCUGCAUCAGCUCUCGGGGUUCCCCUUGUAGAGCCUUGGCUGGCCAUUCUCUGUGGACUCCAUCAUUGUUCCUCCUAACCGCCCUCCUUGAACCAUGUGCCAGUUUUUCUCUUCCCACCCUUGUCACACUCAGAUCAGCCUCUCAACCAGAGCUGUCACAUCCCAGCAGAGCCAUUAGUGGAAACUGCUAUGUGUUAUGCCUUUCUCCGUUGAGGCCGAGGGAGGGAACAAUCAUCUCUCUACCCUGUCAUGCCAUCCUAAGUAACCAUUCCUAAGGACACCUAAGGAGCCUUCCUGAUUCUUCUGCCUGUUCUCUGGUGGAUGGUUGAGAGGGAAAGGGAAAGGACAUCUGUCACAGUGCUCAUGUGUGCCUCUGCCACCGGGAUGGCUUUCAGAUCAGUUCAGAGACCAAGUGGCUUCGCAGUGGAGGCACAGGUAGCUUGAGACAGUCUGGGUUCCAGCCACAGGCAUUCCUACUCCAAGGCCCACUGCCUUUCUCCCAUGGAAAUGCCUCUCAGCCCUCAGAGAACAUGCAAAUCACUAAAGGAUCUUGUUAAAAUGCAAAUUCAGAGCCAGCGGUCCUGACCGGGCCUGAGAUUCUGCUUUGUGACAGUGCCUGGGGUCCUGAUGCUGCCCCCCAGCUCCAGAGGUGAGCAGCAAGUGUAAGACGCAGCCUCCCAAUUGCAAGCCUAGGUAGCCCCGAGCACCCUACUGCUGGAUCUCAGGCGGGUGACAGCACCACAUCUUCCUCCAGGGCAGUAAAACAUUCUGCCGGGAUUUUCCUAAGGAAUGACUGUCACAGAAAUCCUAACAGAUAUUCAUUUAUACAUCCUAGAUACUUUCCGAGACACAAAGAAACAGAAACUGGCCCUCAGAAAUGGGUCCUCAGGGCCCUGGGGGUAUAGCUCAGUGGCACAGUGCCCACCCAGCAAGUGCAAGGUCUGCAGUUUGAUCUCUGGUGCUGGAAAAAAAAGAAGAAAUGGAUCCUCAGAAUGCUUCACAGUAAUAACAAAGCAGUCGAUCCAUGA
This is a long non-coding RNA of Chinchilla lanigera (long-tailed chinchilla), 1982 nucleotides long. RefSeq lists it as uncharacterized. Lineage: Eukaryota; Metazoa; Chordata; Mammalia; Rodentia; Chinchillidae. The transcript is spliced from 3 exons. The record is from RefSeq and is a predicted model, not a curated record.